Molecule: ribosomal RNA, 156 nt
Filed under: Hypericum perforatum
Lineage: Eukaryota; Viridiplantae; Streptophyta; Magnoliopsida; Malpighiales; Hypericaceae
Description: 5.8S ribosomal RNA
Rfam family: 5.8S ribosomal RNA
About the family: 5.8S ribosomal RNA (5.8S rRNA) is a component of the large subunit of the eukaryotic ribosome. It is transcribed by RNA polymerase I as part of the 45S precursor that also contains 18S and 28S rRNA.
Source: RNAcentral
AUAACGACUCUCGGCAACGGAUAUCUAGGCUCUUGCAUCGAUGAAGAACGUAGCGAAAUGCGAUACUUGGUGUGAAUUGCAGAAUCCCGUGAACCAUCGAGUCUUUGAACGCAAGUUGCGCCCGAAUCCUUCUGGCCGAGGGCACGCCUGCCUGGG